RNAcentral lists this ribosomal RNA (279 nucleotides) under uncultured bacterium. RNAcentral describes it as "partial 16S ribosomal RNA". It matches the Rfam family "Bacterial small subunit ribosomal RNA", at positions 506 to 784 of the family's 1533-position model. The record is from RNAcentral.
UGCCAGCCGCCGCGGUAAUACAGAGGGUGCAAGCGUUAAUCGGAAUUACUGGGCGUAAAGCGCGCGUAGGUGGAAUUGUAAGUUGGGUGUGAAAGCCCCGGGCCCAACCUGGGAUGGUCAUCCAAAACUACAAAUCUAGAGUACAGUAGAGGGGAGUGGAAUUUCCGGUGUAGCGGUGAAAUGCGUAGAUAUCGGAAGGAACACCAGUGGCGAAGGCGGCUCCCUGGACUGAUACUGACACUGAGGUGCGAAAGCGUGGGUAGCAAACAGGAUUAGAUA